Molecule: ribosomal RNA, 1343 nt
Filed under: uncultured bacterium
Lineage: Bacteria
Description: 16S ribosomal RNA
Rfam family: Bacterial small subunit ribosomal RNA
Source: RNAcentral
GACGAACGCUGGCGGCGUGCUUAACACAUGCAAGUCGAACGGAAAGGCCCUGCUUUUGUGGGGUGCUCGAGUGGCGAACGGGUGAGUAACACGUGAGUAACCUGCCCUUGACUUUGGGAUAACUUCAGGAAACUGGGGCUAAUACCGGAUAGGAGCUCCUGCUGCACGGUGGGGGUUGGAAAGUUUCGGCGGUUGGGGAUGGACUCGCGGCUUAUCAGCUUGUUGGUGGGGUAGUGGCUUACCAAGGCUUUGACGGGUAGCCGGCCUGAGAGGGUGACCGGCCACAUUGGGACUGAGAUACGGCCCAGACUCCUACGGGAGGCAGCAGUGGGGAAUAUUGCACAAUGGGCGGAAGCCUGAUGCAGCAACGCCGCGUGCGGGAUGACGGCCUUCGGGUUGUAAACCGCUUUCGCCUGUGACGAAGCGUGAGUGACGGUAAUGGGUAAAGAAGCACCGGCUAACUACGUGCCAGCAGCCGCGGUGAUACGUAGGGUGCGAGCGUUGUCCGGAUUUAUUGGGCGUAAAGGGCUCGUAGGUGGUUGAUCGCGUCGGAAGUGUAAUCUUGGGGCUUAACCCUGAGCGUGCUUUCGAUACGGGUUGACUUGAGGAAGGUAGGGGAGAAUGGAAUUCCUGGUGGAGCGGUGGAAUGCGCAGAUAUCAGGAGGAACACCAGUGGCGAAGGCGGUUCUCUGGGCCUUUCCUGACGCUGAGGAGCGAAAGCGUGGGGAGCGAACAGGCUUAGAUACCCUGGUAGUCCACGCUGUAAACGGUGGGUACUAGGUGUGGGGUCCAUUCCACGGGUUCCGUGCCGUAGCUAACGCUUUAAGUACCCCGCCUGGGGAGUACGGCCGCAAGGCUAAAACUCAAAGGAAUUGACGGGGCCCCGCACAAGCGGCGGAGCAUGCGGAUUAAUUCGAUGCAACGCGUAGAACCUUACCUGGGUUUGACAUGGAUCGGGAGUGCUCAGAGAUGGGUGUGCCUCUUUUGGGGUCGGUUCACAGGUGGUGCAUGGCUGUCGUCAGCUCGUGUCGUGAGAUGUUGGGUUAAGUCCCGCAACGAGCGCAACCCUUGUUCACUGUUGCCAGCACGUUAUGGUGGGGACUCAGUGGAGACCGCCGGGGUCAACUCGGAGGAAGGUGGGGAUGACGUCAAGUCAUCAUGCCCCUUAUGUCCAGGGCUUCACGCAUGCUACAAUGGCUGGUACAGAGAGUGGCGAGCCUGUGAGGGUGAGCGAAUCUCGGAAAGCCGGUCUCAGUUCGGAUUGGGGUCUGCAACUCGACCUCAUGAAGUCGGAGUCGCUAGUAAUCGCAGAUCAGCAACGCUGCGGUGAAUACGUUCCCGGG